GGCGAACGGGUGCGUAACACGUGAACAACUGCCCUCGUGUGGGGGAUAGCCGGGCUAACGCCCGGGUAAUACCGCAUACGGUCCUUUGGGGGAGUCCCCGAGGGAAGAAAGCUCCGGCGCACGGGGAGGGGUUCGCGGCCUAUCAGCUAGUUGGCGAGGUAAUGGCUCACCAAGGCGACGACGGGUAGCUGGUCUGAGAGGAUGGCCAGCCACAUUGGGACUGAGAGACGGCCCAGACUCCUACGGGAGGCAGCAGUGGGGAAUCUUGCGCAAUGGCCGAAAGGCUGACGCAGCGACGCCGCGUGUGGGAGGACGCCUUUCGGGGUGUAAACCACUGUUGCCCGGGACGAACACGCUCUUUCGAGAGCGCUGACGGUACCGGGUGAGGAAGCACCGGCUAACUCCGUGCCAGCCGCCGCGG
Molecule: ribosomal RNA, 421 nt
Filed under: uncultured bacterium
Lineage: Bacteria
Description: bacterial SSU rRNA
Rfam family: Bacterial small subunit ribosomal RNA
Source: RNAcentral